GACGAACGCUGGCGGCGUGCCUAAUACAUGCAAGUCGAGCGGACGAAUCGAAAGCUUGCUUUUGAUUCGUUAGCGGCGGACGGGUGAGUAACACGUGGGCAACCUGCCCUGUAGACGGGGAUAACACCGAGAAAUCGGUGCUAAUACCGGAUAACACGAAAUGUCGCAUGACGUUUCGUUGAAAGACGGCGCAAGCUGCCGCUACAGGAUGGGCCCGCGGCGCAUUAGCUAGUUGGUGAGGUAACGGCUCACCAAGGCGACGAUACGUAGCCGACCUGAGAGGGUGAUCGGCCACACUGGGACUGAGACACGGCCCAGACUCCUACGGGAGGCAGCAGUAGGGAAUCUUCCGCAAUGGACGAAAGUCUGACGGAGCAACGCCGCGUGAGCGAAGAAGGCCUUCGGGUCGUAAAGCUCUGUUGUUAGGGAAGAACAAGUAACGCAGUAACUGGCGUUACUGUGACGGUACCUAACGAGAAAGCCACGGCUAACUACGUG
RNAcentral lists this ribosomal RNA (498 nucleotides) under uncultured bacterium. RNAcentral's name for it is "partial 16S ribosomal RNA". It matches the Rfam family "Bacterial small subunit ribosomal RNA", at positions 28 to 507 of the family's 1533-position model. The record is from RNAcentral.